RNAcentral lists this ribosomal RNA (688 nucleotides) under Actinomyces bouchesdurhonensis. Its description in RNAcentral is "partial 23S ribosomal RNA". It matches the Rfam family "Bacterial large subunit ribosomal RNA", at positions 1530 to 2218 of the family's 2925-position model. The record is from RNAcentral. Lineage: Bacteria; Bacillati; Actinomycetota; Actinomycetes; Actinomycetales; Actinomycetaceae.
GGGUAGGCAAAUCCGCUCGGAGAUCCGAACCUGACAGUACUCUGAGUGCUUGCACAAGGAGAUAUGGACAAGUAACGGUGCUCCCAAGAAAAUCCGCUAAGCAUAUUGCAUGAUUACCCGUACCAUAAACCGACACAGGUGGUUGGGUUGAGUAUACUAAGGCGCUCGAGUGAUUCGCGGUUAAGGAACUAGGCAAAAUAGUCCUGUAACUUCGGAAUAAAGGACGCUCACAGUAAAGGCUGUGAGCCGCAGAGAAUAGGCCCAGGCGACUGUUUAACAAAAACACAUGGCUAUGCUAAAUCGAAAGAUACUGUAUAUAGCCUGACACCUGCCCGGUGCUGGAAGGUUAAGAGGAGAUGUCAUCGCAAGAGAAGCAUUGAAUUGAAGCCCCAGUAAACGGCGGCCGUAACUAUAACGGUCCUAAGGUAGCGAAAUUCCUUGUCGGGUAAGUUCCGACCUGCACGAAUGGUGUAACGAUCUGGGUACUGUCUCAACCGCGAGCUCGGUGAAAUUGUAGUAUCGGUGAAGAUGCCGAUUACCCGCAACGGGACGAAAAGACCCCGUGAACCUUUACUAUAGCUUUGCAUUGGAUUUGGGUAACAAAUGUGUAGGAUAGGCCGGAGACUAAGAAGCGGGCACGCCAGUGCUUGUGGAGUCGCCGUUGAAAUACGGCCCUUUUGUUAUUUGG